RNAcentral lists this microRNA precursor (173 nucleotides) under Medicago truncatula (barrel medic). Its description in RNAcentral is "miR5281d stem-loop (mtr-MIR5281d)". Lineage: Eukaryota; Viridiplantae; Streptophyta; Magnoliopsida; Fabales; Fabaceae. The record is from miRBase by way of RNAcentral.
UUACUUGUUACUUUUAAAUUACUACCUCCGGUCCUAUUUAUAAGAGAAAUUUAGGUCAACAAAAGUGAAUGUAUUUGAACUGAAUUUUUAACUAGAUACAUCAACUUUAGUUGACCCAAAAUUCUCUUAUAAAUAGGACCGGAGGGAGUACAAUGCAAAGAUGGGUUUCUCAC